Molecule: transfer RNA, 85 nt
Filed under: Felis catus (domestic cat)
Lineage: Eukaryota; Metazoa; Chordata; Mammalia; Carnivora; Felidae
Also listed under: 3 other names
Rfam family: tRNA
About the family: Transfer RNA (tRNA) molecules are approximately 80 nucleotides in length.
Source: Rfam by way of RNAcentral
GCCUGGGUGGCUCAGUCGGUUGAGCAUCCAACUUUGGCUCAGGUCAUGAUCUCACGGUUCGUGGGUUCGAGCCCCACAUCAGGUU